This 111-nucleotide non-coding RNA is filed under the name Clostridium colicanis DSM 13634. RNAcentral's name for it is "SAM riboswitch aptamer (S box leader)". It matches the Rfam family "SAM riboswitch aptamer (S box leader)". Rfam says of the family: The SAM riboswitch is found upstream of a number of genes which code for proteins involved in methionine or cysteine biosynthesis in Gram-positive bacteria. The SAM riboswitch acts at the level of transcription termination control. The record is from Rfam by way of RNAcentral. Lineage: Bacteria; Bacillati; Bacillota; Clostridia; Eubacteriales; Clostridiaceae.
UUCUUAUCAAGAGAGGCGGAGGGACUGGCCCUGUGAAGCCCGGCAACCGGUAUGAAUUUUAGAUUGCAUACAAUGGUGCUAAUUCCUGCAGCGAAAGCUGAAAGAUGAGGA